RNAcentral lists this transfer RNA (85 nucleotides) under Clostridiaceae bacterium. Its description in RNAcentral is "tRNA-Leu". It matches the Rfam family "tRNA". Rfam says of the family: Transfer RNA (tRNA) molecules are approximately 80 nucleotides in length. RNAcentral also lists the same sequence under 7 other names. The record is from RNAcentral. Lineage: Bacteria; Bacillati; Bacillota; Clostridia; Eubacteriales; Clostridiaceae.
GCACCCGUGGCGAAAUUGGCAUACGCGCCAGAUUUAGGUUCUGGUCUCGCAGGAGGUAGGGGUUCAACUCCCCUCGGGUGCACCA